UGGAGUAGUCCCAAACAGGCCCUGUGUCAAGAAUUGAAGUAUGUGACAAAGAAACAAACAGCAAGACUGAAGAACAAAGUGGGAUUUACUGCCUAAACUGAUGGAUAUUUGGAUCGAUAAAUAGAUUCACAGUACAAGGCAGCCGCUUCACUCUAAUAUACUUCUACAGAGCUAGAGUCUGGUUUUCUUCUUGGAUGAUCCCCACUGAACCAGCCUCCAGCCUUCCAUAGAUCAUGGUCUGGACAGAGUUAAGGUAAAGAGAAUCAAGAAAUGUUGAGAAUACUUAAACAGGAUUGAGAUGUUGCUUUUACAGUGUUCGGAGCUAAGCAAAGAGGAAAUUAAAGAUAGCCACUGGAUGGUUAUCGAACAGUCCUGGAAGCGAGUCAGAGGUCAGUAAAAUGUGCAAUGACUUCCAUUGCGCUGACAGACCAACGAAACUGAAUGCCAUUGCUUAAAAGUUGCUGACAAUGAUCAUCUUUGUUGAAAAAUAACUGAUUUCCUUCCUGACAUUAAGGGACUGGGUCUAAUCCACACGUACUGAAACAAGGCCAAGAAGCGAUCGGUUCCCUGACAUUGCCCUCCCUCGCUGAAAUUGCUAAACCACUUCCUAAAACUAGCAAUCAGGAAAAAUCAUUUACUCAACCGCUUGAGACUAGUUACCUCCCAUCUCGAGACAGGAAUCCCUUGAUUCCCUUUAUUAUCAUGGGAACUGUGCUAGAAAUUUGCAAGAUGCGAUGCAAAUGGCUUCAGAUUUCAGUUCCACAUUAUUAGCUAAUUGCAGGAAUUACACUGACUAAAUUAGGAAUUCACCUGAUUGACUCUAGCUUGGUCCCUUUCGUGAUUUGGCUGCUGCACACCUGCUGGCUAAUUGCCGGUAAUGUGGAACACACCUCGACGGCGCACGGGCCACGGCGUUGCCAGUGAAGGCCGCCGCCACGUGCUGAGGAGUGAGCGCCCGUAGCCUUGGGAUCGCGGCCUCGCAGACGGCAGCAAUGAAGUGGGAGCGGGCAAGCUAUAACGCCGGAGGGAGCCUAGGGGCGGAUCGAAGCAAGCCGCGAGCGAAGCGUGGAGGCGCUGCGGGUGGACGGCGCAGCACGGCGGCAAACCAUCGGGAUUCGUG
RNAcentral lists this long non-coding RNA (1120 nucleotides) under Setaria italica (foxtail millet). RNAcentral describes it as "long non-coding RNA (SITA_LNC000405)". The record is from RNAcentral. Lineage: Eukaryota; Viridiplantae; Streptophyta; Magnoliopsida; Poales; Poaceae.